GCGGGAAUAACUCAGGGGUAGAGUGCAACCUUGCCAAGGUUGAAGUCGCGGGUUCAAAUCCCGUUUCCCGCUCCA
RNAcentral lists this transfer RNA (75 nucleotides) under Deltaproteobacteria bacterium. RNAcentral's name for it is "tRNA-Gly". It matches the Rfam family "tRNA". Rfam says of the family: Transfer RNA (tRNA) molecules are approximately 80 nucleotides in length. RNAcentral also lists the same sequence under 3 other names. The record is from RNAcentral. Lineage: Bacteria; Pseudomonadati; Myxococcota; Myxococcia.